GACGAACGCUGGCGGCGUGCUUAACACAUGCAAGUCGAACGGAAAGGCCCUGCUUUUGUGGGGUGCUCGAGUGGCGAACGGGUGAGUAACAUGUGAGUAACCUGUCCUUGACUUUGGGAUAACUUCAGGAAACUGGGGCUAAUAUCGGAUAGGAGCUCCUGCUGCAUGGUGGGGGUUGGAAAGUUUCGGCGGUUGGGGAUGGACUCGCGGCUUAUCAGCUUGUUGGUGGGGUAGUGGCUUACCAAGGCUUUGACGGGUAGCCGGCCUGAGAGGGUGACCGGCCACAAUGGGACUAAGAUACGGCCCAGACUCCAACGGGAGGCAGCAGUGGGGAAUAUUGCACAAUGGGCGGAAGCCUGAUGCAGCAACGCCGCGUGCGGGAUGACGGCCUUCGGGUGGUAAACCGCUUUCGCCUGUGACGAAGCGUGAGUGACGGUAAUGGGUAAAGAAGCACCGGCUAACUACGUG
This 468-nucleotide ribosomal RNA is filed under the name uncultured bacterium. Its description in RNAcentral is "partial 16S ribosomal RNA". It matches the Rfam family "Bacterial small subunit ribosomal RNA", at positions 28 to 507 of the family's 1533-position model. The record is from RNAcentral.